CGGAACGGGUGAGUAACGCGUGAGGAACCUGCCUCAAAGAGGGGGACAACAGUUGGAAACGACUGCUAAUACCGCAUAAGCCCACGGGUCGGCAUCGACCAGAGGGAAAAGGAGCAAUCCGCUUUGAGAUGGCCUUGCGUCCGAUUAGCUAGUUGGUGAGGUAAUGGCCCACCAAGGCAACGAUCGGUAGCCGGACUGAGAGGUUGAACGGCCACAUUGGGACUGAGACACGGCCCAG
This 238-nucleotide ribosomal RNA is filed under the name uncultured bacterium. RNAcentral describes it as "partial 16S ribosomal RNA". It matches the Rfam family "Bacterial small subunit ribosomal RNA", at positions 100 to 334 of the family's 1533-position model. The record is from RNAcentral.